Molecule: ribosomal RNA, 628 nt
Filed under: uncultured archaeon
Lineage: Archaea
Description: bacterial SSU rRNA
Rfam family: Archaeal small subunit ribosomal RNA
Source: RNAcentral
ACGGCUCAGUAACACGUAGUCAACAUGCCCAGGGGACGUGGAUAACCUCGGGAAACUGAGGAUAAACCGCGAUAGGUCAUCACUUCUGGAAUGGGUAAUGACUUAAAUCUACAUGGCCCCUGGAUUGGACUGCGGCCGAUCAGGCUGUUGGUGAGGUAAUGGCCCACCAAACCUGUAACCGGUACGGGCUCUGAGAGGAGGAGCCCGGAGAUGGGCACUGGGACAAGGGCCCAGGCCCUAUGGGGCGCAGCAGGCGCGAAACCUCUGCAAUAGGCGAAAGCUUGACAGGGUUACUCUGAGUGAUUUCCGUUAAGGAGAUCUUUUGGCACCUCUAAAAAUGGUGCAGAAUAAGGGGUGGGCAAGUCUGGUGUCAGCCGCCGCGGUAAUACCAGCACCCCGAGUGGUCGGGACGUUUAUUGGGCCUAAAGCAUCCGUAGCCGGUUCUACAAGUCUUCCGUUAAAUCCACCUGCUUAACAGAUGGGCUGCGGAAGAUACUAUAGAGCUAGGAGGCGGGAGAGGCAAGCGGUACUCGAUGGGUAGGGGUAAAAUCCGUUGAUCCAUUGAAGACCACCAGUGGCGAAGGCGGCUUGCCAGAACGCGCUCGACGGUGAGGAUGAAAGCUGGGGG